UACGGAGGGUGCAAGCGUUAUCCGGAUUUAUUGGGUUUAAAGGGUCCGUAGGCGGACCAUUAAGUCAGUGGUGAAAGCCCUCUGCUCAACAGAGGAACUGCCAUUGAUACUGAUGGUCUUGAGUAUAAGUGAGGUUGGCGGAAUGUGUGGUGUAGCGGUGAAAUGCUUAGAUAUCACACAGAACACCGAUUGCGAAGGCAGCUGGCCAACUUAUAACUGACGCUGAGGGACGAAAGUGUGGGGAUCAAACAGG
This 253-nucleotide ribosomal RNA is filed under the name uncultured bacterium. RNAcentral's name for it is "partial 16S ribosomal RNA". It matches the Rfam family "Bacterial small subunit ribosomal RNA", at positions 524 to 776 of the family's 1533-position model. The record is from RNAcentral.